GUUACAUAUGCUCAGUUGGUUAGAGUGUGGUGCUAACAACGCCAGGGUAGCAGGUUCAAUCCCUGUAAGGGACA
Podarcis lilfordi (Lilford's wall lizard) is the source of this 74-nucleotide non-coding RNA. Lineage: Eukaryota; Metazoa; Chordata; Lepidosauria; Squamata; Lacertidae. The record is from the annotation of a GenBank genome assembly.